CUGGCUAUAAGUCCUUGACCUUUAGUCCCAUGUGACAAUAUACCUGAGCAUCCAGUGAUAAGCAUUCCAGAAACUACGGUCGUUAUAAGGAGAACAAACAGAGCCCUAAAAACCUGUUGGAAUAGCUGACAAGAUCAUGAAAUAAUUAUUGGAGAUCUCUAGAUGAUGGUGAAGAAUUUAGAACUGUAAAUACAAGGAAUCCCAAGCAGUUUCAGGAGUUACUCACACAGAAACUCAGAACAAGUCAGCUGGAAUAACAGAAGAAUUUUUUUCUGUGAUGCCCUCCAGUCGUCCUCUGCUGCAAUCUAAGCUAUCAUGCUGAG
This 323-nucleotide long non-coding RNA is filed under the name Coturnix japonica (Japanese quail). RNAcentral describes it as "lncRNA (ENSCJPG00005016811.1)". The record is from RNAcentral. Lineage: Eukaryota; Metazoa; Chordata; Aves; Galliformes; Phasianidae.